AGCAGCCGCGGUAAUACGGGAGGGUGCGAGCGUUAAUCGGAAUUACUGGGCGUAAAAGCGCAUGCAGGUGGUUUGUUAAGUCAGAUGUGAAAGACCCGGGGCUCAACCUCGGAAUUGCAUUUGAAAACUGGCAAACUAGAGUACUGUAGAGGGGGUAGGAAUUUCUAGGUGUAGCGGUGAAAUAGCGUAGAGAUCUGAAGGAAUACCGGUGGCGAAGGCGGCCCCCUCGGACCAGAUACUGACACUCAGAUGCGAAAGCGUGGGGAGGCAAACAGGAUUAGAUACCCUCGGUAG
Molecule: ribosomal RNA, 294 nt
Filed under: uncultured bacterium
Lineage: Bacteria
Description: partial 16S ribosomal RNA
Rfam family: Bacterial small subunit ribosomal RNA
Source: RNAcentral